UCAUGGUUCAGUGACCACUUGAAAAAAAAGUUCAGAAUUUUUGUAACGUUGAAUUCUCUCUUAUUAUAAGUAAUAGGAUAACUAUAUUUGGUAUAUGCAUACCUUGCAAGGUCCUCAUGCCCGUCAGACAGUUUUCACUUGACCUCGACCUCAUUUCAUGGAUCAGUGAACAAGGUUAAGUUUUGGUGGUCAAGUCCAUAUCUCAGAUACUAUAAGCAAUAGGGCUAGUAUAUUUGGUGUAUGGAAGGACUGGAAGGUGUACAUGUCCAACUGGCAGGUGUCAUCUGACCUUGACUUCAUUUUCAUGGUUCAGUGGUUAUAGUUAAGUUUUUGUGUUUUGGUCUGUUUUUCUCAUACUUUAUGCAAUAGGUCUACUAUAUUUGUUGUAUGGAAUGAUUGUAAGGUGUACAUGUCUAGCGGGCAGAUGUCAUCUGACCUUGACCUCAUUUUCAUGGUUCAGUGGUCAAAGUUAAGUUUUUAAGUUUUGAUCUUUUUAUCUAAUAUUAUAUGCCAAAGGUCAACUAUAUUUGGUGUAUGGAAAUAUAUUAUGAUCUAUAUGUCAGUCCCGCAGGUUUUAUUUGACCAUGACCUCAAUUGCACGGUUCAUUGGACAGUGUUAAGUUUUUGUGUUUUGGUCUAUUUUUCUUAAACUAUAAGUAAUAGGUCAACUAUAUUUGUUGUAUGGAAGCAUUGUUAGCUGUACAUGUCUGCCUGGCAUGGUUCAUCUGACCUUGACCUCAUUUUCAUGGUUCAUUGGUCUUUGUUUAACUAUCUUGUUUAAUGUUAAGUUUAUGUGACAGUUGUAAUAACGCUUUAUACUUAGGACUAUCAACAUAAUAUCAAUGAUUAGUAAAGAAGGCGAGACAUUUCAGUGUGUGCACUCUUGUUAAUUGUUUCAGAAAG
RNAcentral lists this long non-coding RNA (903 nucleotides) under Mytilus galloprovincialis (Mediterranean mussel). The record is from RNAcentral. Lineage: Eukaryota; Metazoa; Mollusca; Bivalvia; Mytilida; Mytilidae.